Molecule: ribosomal RNA, 443 nt
Filed under: Trivettea papalotla
Lineage: Eukaryota; Metazoa; Mollusca; Gastropoda; Nudibranchia
Description: partial 16S ribosomal RNA
Rfam family: Bacterial large subunit ribosomal RNA
Source: RNAcentral
AGCCAUAAGUCUUUGUUUAUGGUUUGACCUGCCCAAUGUUUGAAGGAUCAAUGGCCGCGGUACCCUGACCGUGCUAAGGUAGCGUAAUCAGUUGGCUUUUAAAUGGAGUCAGGAAUGAAUGGGGAAACUGAGUUUAGCUGUCUCUUUUUUACUAUUUUGAAUUUACUGCUUAGGUGAAAAAGCCUAAAAUGAGAAGGGGGACGAGAAGACCCUUAGAAUUUUUUCUAAGAUGCGAAAUUUAAUCGCACUCAGAUUUUGUUGGGGCGACAUUGAAAUAUAUUAUAACUUUUAUAAUGUUUACAGGCCGAGAUUUUUUAAGAGUGGAUAAAUUACCUGAGGGAUAACAGCAUAAUUCUAAAAUUGAGUUUGUGACCUCGAUGUUGGACUAGGAAACUAUCAGGCUAGCCGCUUGUUGUGUUGGUUCUGUUCGAACUAAAAUUCCU